Caenorhabditis elegans is the source of this 127-nucleotide small nucleolar RNA. Lineage: Eukaryota; Metazoa; Nematoda; Chromadorea; Rhabditida; Rhabditidae. The record is from Ensembl.
AUUCCUCUCAACAACUAUGCAAAUUUGUAUUACUGAGCAAGCAAUAACUACCGAUGCAACAUCAAAUGCCAAUGCAAAAGGAAGAGAGAGAAAGAGAUUGACUAAAGAACUAAUAAAGGUCAAAACC